This 74-nucleotide transfer RNA is filed under the name Clostridiales bacterium. Its description in RNAcentral is "tRNA-Gln". It matches the Rfam family "tRNA". Rfam says of the family: Transfer RNA (tRNA) molecules are approximately 80 nucleotides in length. The record is from RNAcentral. Lineage: Bacteria; Bacillati; Bacillota; Clostridia; Eubacteriales.
UGGGAUAUGGUGUAAUGGUAACACACUAGACUUUGACUCUGGUAUUGUAGGUUCGAGCCCUGCUAUCCCAGCCA